This 59-nucleotide transfer RNA is filed under the name Camelus bactrianus (Bactrian camel). It matches the Rfam family "tRNA". Rfam says of the family: Transfer RNA (tRNA) molecules are approximately 80 nucleotides in length. Their secondary structure includes four short double-helical elements and three loops (D, anti-codon, and T loops). RNAcentral also lists the same sequence under 2 other names. Lineage: Eukaryota; Metazoa; Chordata; Mammalia; Artiodactyla; Camelidae. The record is from Rfam by way of RNAcentral.
GGAGGUAGAGCACAUGCUUAGCAUGCACAAGAUCCUGGGUUCAAUUCCCAGUACCUCCA